GCUUAUUAACAUUCCAGAUUGAAUAUUCCCGAUCUCGUCUGAUCUCGGAAGUCAAGCAAUCUCGGGCUUGGUUAGUACUUGGAUGGGUGACCGCUUGGGAAUACCAAGUGUGAUAAGCU
Molecule: non-coding RNA, 119 nt
Organism: Ciona savignyi (Pacific transparent sea squirt)
Lineage: Eukaryota; Metazoa; Chordata; Ascidiacea; Phlebobranchia; Cionidae
Source: Rfam